UACAAUUUAGUAUAAAAUGUACAUAAGUUUUUGAUACUUAAAGAGAUAAUGUAGUAUUAUUAAUUGUAA
Molecule: transfer RNA, 69 nt
Filed under: Coenochilus striatus
Lineage: Eukaryota; Metazoa; Arthropoda; Insecta; Coleoptera; Scarabaeidae
Description: tRNA-Gln
Source: RNAcentral